AAGACAUUAGUAAAAUAAUAACAUAACUUUGUCAAAGUUAAUUUAUAGGUUAGAAUCCUUUAUGUCUUA
Molecule: transfer RNA, 69 nt
Filed under: Dremomys rufigenis belfieldi
Lineage: Eukaryota; Metazoa; Chordata; Mammalia; Rodentia; Sciuridae
Also listed under: 2 other names
Description: tRNA-Asp
Rfam family: tRNA
About the family: Transfer RNA (tRNA) molecules are approximately 80 nucleotides in length. Their secondary structure includes four short double-helical elements and three loops (D, anti-codon, and T loops).
Source: RNAcentral